RNAcentral lists this ribosomal RNA (600 nucleotides) under Talaromyces rugulosus. Its description in RNAcentral is "eukaryotic LSU rRNA". The stretch from base 213 to 366 matches the Rfam family "5.8S ribosomal RNA". The record is from RNAcentral. Lineage: Eukaryota; Fungi; Ascomycota; Eurotiomycetes; Eurotiales; Trichocomaceae.
UCCGUAGGUGAACCUGCGGAAGGAUCAUUACCGAGUGCGGGUUCCAACGAGCCCAACCUCCCACCCGUGUUUACCAUGACCGCGUUGCCUCGGCGGGCCCACUGGGGCCUGGCCCCGGUCGCCGGGGGGCUUCUGCCCCCGGGUCCGCGCCCGCCGAAGCGCCCUGGAACCCUGUCUGAAUAGUGAGUCUGAGUCUAUGAUUAAAUCAUUAAAACUUUCAACAACGGAUCUCUUGGUUCCGGCAUCGAUGAAGAACGCAGCGAAAUGCGAUAAGUAAUGUGAAUUGCAGAAUUCCGUGAAUCAUCGAAUCUUUGAACGCACAUUGCGCCCCCUGGCAUUCCGGGGGGCAUGCCUGUCCGAGCGUCAUUUCUGCCCUCCAGCCCGGCUGGGUGUUGGGUGUUGUCCCCCCGGGGACACGCCCCAAAGGCAGUGGCGGCGCCGCGUCGGGUCCUCGAGCGUAUGGGGCUUUGUCACCCGCUCGGGACGGACUCGUCGGCGCUGGUCUUCCUCCAGGCGACCCUUCGGGGCCCGUCUACCUUCGGUUGACCUCGGAUCAGGUAGGGUUACCCGCUGAACUUAAGCAUAUCAAUAAGCGGAGGA